CAUCAAGACAGUAGUUUAACUUAAAAUUCUGGUAUUGGAAACCAAGAUUGGGUAUCUAGCCCCACUUCUUGA
This 72-nucleotide transfer RNA is filed under the name Angaria delphinus. Its description in RNAcentral is "tRNA-Pro". The record is from RNAcentral. Lineage: Eukaryota; Metazoa; Mollusca; Gastropoda; Trochida; Turbinidae.